CUUAAGAGGCACCCCCACUCUGUUUCAGGACCAGGAGCCUCAGGCAUGAAGAGAACACAGAGUGACAGUUACAAGGUGCAAAAGGAGGAGACCUGAGGGUACCAGGCUGGAGGGUGAGCCCACAGCAGGUCAGGAAGGGAGGACACAGCACCUUGAGAAUGCCUCACAGAAAAGAGCAGGUGAGGGACACCAUUAUUUGCCUGUGGGGAGCUGAAAAAGAAGCAAGAGCUGAGGUGAAGAUAAGCUGCCAGAACCCAGAUUCGGUUGCUUCUGUGACUCUGUAGAACCCUGACGAAUACAGCGGAUGAAGCAUCUGAGAAACAUCUCCUGAGGCUUGCUUACUCCUACUGCCUAAACCCAGGGACACGACCAGGACUCCCACUAAGAAAAAACUCUCUAAGUAUCAUUUCAAACCCACAGUUUCUCUCCUGAGAGCAUGUCAUUCGUCCUAGUUUUGCCCACUGCCUGAGCACCUCAUCCUGGCCAUUCUUGGUUCACUUGCAUAAGUCCUGAGAUCCCUGGAAGGUCAGCACUCACUUCUCCCAGGCUGGUCUGGUCUGAAAUCUUUCUUUAAACUUCUAAGCAUGGCUUGGAGGAGGAUGUGCUUUGCCAAAGUCGAAUCAAGCACACGACAGCCACCAAACGACCCAAAGUGAAAUAAAUACUGUGCAAGCAAUCUAUGUGUCCUAAGGGAAUCGGCGCUAAAGAGCUU
This is a long non-coding RNA of Callithrix jacchus (white-tufted-ear marmoset), 712 nucleotides long. RefSeq lists it as uncharacterized. NCBI's taxonomy places the organism in Eukaryota, Metazoa, Chordata, Mammalia, Primates, Cebidae. The record is from RefSeq and is a predicted model, not a curated record.